GGGUUGUGAGGUUAAGCGACUAAGCGUACACGGUGGAUGCCUAGGCAGUCAGAGGCGAUGAAGGGCGUGCUAAUCUGCGAAAAGCGUCGGUAAGCUGAUAUGAAGCGUUAUAACCGACGAUACCCGAAUGGGGAAACCCAGUGCAAUACGUUGCACUAUCGUUAGAUGAAUACAUAGUCUAACGAGGCGAACCGGGGGAACUGAAACAUCUAAGUACCCCGAGGAAAAGAAAUCAACCGAGAUUCCCCCAGUAGCGGCGAGCGAACGGGGAGGAGCCCAGAGUCUGAAUCAGUUUGUGUGUUAGUGGAAGCGUCUGGAAAGUCGCACGGUACAGGGUGAUAGUCCCGUACACCAAAAUGCACAGGCUGUGAACUCGAUGAGUAGGGCGGGACACGUGACAUCCUGUCUGAAUAUGGGGGGACCAUCCUCCAAGGCUAAAUACUCCUGACUGACCGAUAGUGAACCAGUACCGUGAGGGAAAGGCGAAAAGAACCCCGGCGAGGGGAGUGAAAUAGAACCUGAAACCGUGUACGUACAAGCAGUGGGAGCACCUUCGUGGUGUGACUGCGUACCUUUUGUAUAAUGGGUCAGCGACUUAUAUUUUGUAGCAAGGUUAACCGAAUAGGGGAGCCGUAGGGAAACCGAGUCUUAACUGGGCGUCUAGUUGCAAGGUAUAGACCCGAAACCCGGUGAUCUAGCCAUGGGCAGGUUGAAGGUUGGGUAACACUAACUGGAGGACCGAACCGACUAAUGUUGAAAAUUAGCGGAUGACUUGUGGCUGGGGGUGAAAGGCCAAUCAAACCGGGAGAUAGCUGGUUCUCCCCGAAAGCUAUUUAGGUAGCGCCUCGUGAACUCAUCUUCGGGGGUAGAGCACUGUUUCGGCUAGGGGGCCAUCCCGGCUUACCAAACCGAUGCAAACUCCGAAUACCGAAGAAUGUUAUCACGGGAGACACACGGCGGGUGCUAACGUCCGUCGUGAAGAGGGAAACAACCCAGACCGCCAGCUAAGGUCCCAAAGUCAUGGUUAAGUGGGAAACGAUGUGGGAAGGCACAGACAGCCAGGAUGUUGGCUUAGAAGCAGCCAUCAUUUAAAGAAAGCGUAAUAGCUCACUGGUCGAGUCGGCCUGCGCGGAAGAUGUAACGGGGCUAAACCAUGCACCGAAGCUGCGGCAGCGACACUUAGGUGUUGUUGGGUAGGGGAGCGUUCUGUAAGCCGUUGAAGGUGACCUGUGAGGGUUGCUGGAGGUAUCAGAAGUGCGAAUGCUGACAUAAGUAACGAUAAUGCGGGUGAAAACCCGCACGCCGGAAGACCAAGGGUUCCUGUCCAACGUUAAUCGGGGCAGGGUGAGUCGACCCCUAAGGCGAGGCUGAAAAGCGUAGUCGAUGGGAAACAGGUUAAUAUUCCUGUACUUGGUGUUACUGCGAAGGGGGGACGGAGAAGGCUAGGCUGGCCGGGCGACGGUUGUCCCGGUUUAAGCGUGUAGGGGAGUGACCAGGUAAAUCCGGUUGCUUAUCAACCCUGAGGCGUGAUGACGAUGCACCACGGUGCAGAAGCAGUUGAUGCCAUGCUUCCAGGAAAAGCCUCUAAGCAUCAGGUAACAUUAAAUCGUACCCCAAACCGACACAGGUGGUCAGGUAGAGAAUACUCAGGCGCUUGAGAGAACUCGGGUGAAGGAACUAGGCAAAAUGGUGCCGUAACUUCGGGAGAAGGCACGCUGGCGUUAGGUGAAAGGACUAGCUCCUGGAGCUGAAGCCAGUCGCAGAUACCAGCUGGCUGCAACUGUUUAAUAAAAACACAGCACUGUGCAAACACGAAAGUGGACGUAUACGGUGUGACGCCUGCCCGGUGCUGGAAGGUUAAUUGAUGGGGUCAGCCGCAAGGGGAAGCUCUUGAUCGAAGCCCCAGUAAACGGCGGCCGUAACUAUAACGGUCCUAAGGUAGCGAAAUUCCUUGUCGGGUAAGUUCCGACCUGCACGAAUGGCGUAAUGAUGGCCAGGCUGUCUCCACCCGAGACUCAGUGAAAUUGAACUCGCUGUGAAGAUGCAGUGUACCCGCGGCAAGACGGAAAGACCCCGUGAACCUUUACUAUAGCUUGACACUGAACAUUGAGCCUUGAUGUGUAGGAUAGGUGGGAGGCCUUGAAGUGUGGACGCCAGUCUGCAUGGAGCCAACCUUGAAAUACCACCCUUUAAUGUUUGAUGUUCUAACUCGGCCCCAUGAUCUGGGGUGAGGACAGUGUCUGGUGGGUAGUUUGACUGGGGCGGUCUCCUCCCAAAGAGUAACGGAGGAGCACGAAGGUUAGCUAAUCACGGUCGGACAUCGUGAGGUUAGUGCAAAGGCAUAAGCUAGCUUGACUGCGAGAGUGACGGCUCGAGCAGGUACGAAAGUAGGUCUUAGUGAUCCGGUGGUUCUGAAUGGAAGGGCCAUCGCUCAACGGAUAAAAGGUACUCCGGGGAUAACAGGCUGAUACCGCCCAAGAGUUCAUAUCGACGGCGGUGUUUGGCACCUCGAUGUCGGCUCAUCACAUCCUGGGGCUGAAGUAGGUCCCAAGGGUAUGGCUGUUCGCCAUUUAAAGUGGUACGCGAGCUGGGUUUAGAACGUCGUGAGACAGUUCGGUCCCUAUCUGCCGUGGGCGUUGGAAGAUUGAGAGGGGCUGCUCCUAGUACGAGAGGACCGGAGUGGACGAAUCACUGGUGUUCGGGUUGUCAUGCCAAUGGCAUUGCCCGGUAGCUAAAUUCGGAAGAGAUAACCGCUGAAAGCAUCUAAGCGGGAAACUUGCCUCGAGAUGAGUCUUCCCUGGGGCUUAAAGCCCCUGAAGGAACGUUAAAGACUAUGACGUUGAUAGGCUGGGUGUGUAAGUGCAGCGAUGUAUUGAGCUAACCAGUACUAAUGAUCCGUGAGGCUUAACCUUACAACACCGAAGGUGUUU
RNAcentral lists this ribosomal RNA (2930 nucleotides) under Yersinia pestis. RNAcentral describes it as "bacterial LSU rRNA". It matches the Rfam family "Bacterial large subunit ribosomal RNA". The record is from RNAcentral. Lineage: Bacteria; Pseudomonadati; Pseudomonadota; Gammaproteobacteria; Enterobacterales; Yersiniaceae.